CCAGUAAACACGUAGUCAACCUGCCCCUCGAGACGGUGACAACCCCGGGAAACUGGGGCUAAUCUCCGAUAGGCGAAGAGCUCUGGAAUGAGCCUUUACCCAAACAGCAAUCAGGCUAUGCUUCUGAUUGUCGCUCGAGGAUGGGGCCGCGACCGAUCAGGUUGUUGGUGAGGUAACGGCUCACCAAGCCUAUAACCGGUGCGGGCCGUGGGAGCGGGAGCCCGGAGAUGGGCACUGAGACAAGGGCCCAGGCCCUACGGGGCGCAGCAGUCGCGCAAACUUUGCAAUACACGAAAGUGUGACAGGGCUAUCCCGAGUGCCGUCCGCUGAGGAUGGCUUUUACCCAGUCUAGAACGCUGGGGGAAUAAGGAGAGGGCAAGUCUGGUGUCAGCCGCCGCGGUAAUACCAGCUCUCCGAGUGGUGUGGAUGUUUAUUGGGCCUAAAGCAUCCGUAGCUGGCCAAGCUAGUCCCUUGUUAAACCCACCGAACCAAUCGUUGGAUCGCGGGGGAUACUGCUCGGCUAGGGGACGAGAGAGGCAGACGGUAUUUUCGGGGUAGGGGUGAAAUCCUAUAAUCCCGGGAAGACCACCAGUGGCGAAGGCUGUCUGCUAGAACGCGCCCGACGGUGAGGGAUGAAAGCUGGGGGAGCGAACCGGAUUAGAUACCCGGGUAGUCCCAGCUGUAAACGAUGCAGGCUAGGUGUUUGGGCGGCCACGUGCCGCUCUAGUGCCGCAGGGAAGCUGUUAAGCCUGCCGCCUGGGGGAGUACGGUCGCAAGAUUGAAACUUAAAGGAAUUGGCGGGGGAG
RNAcentral lists this ribosomal RNA (806 nucleotides) under uncultured archaeon. RNAcentral's name for it is "bacterial SSU rRNA". It matches the Rfam family "Archaeal small subunit ribosomal RNA", at positions 90 to 876 of the family's 1478-position model. The record is from RNAcentral.